CCUACGGGAGGCAGCAGUGGGGAAUAUUGCGCAAUGGGGGGAACCCUGACGCAGCAACGCCGCGUGAGUGAAGAAGGCCUUCGGGUUGUAAAGCUCUUUAAUCAGGGACGAAGAAUGACGGUACCUGAAGAAUAAGCUCCGGCUAACUACGUGCCAGCAGCCGCGGUAAUACGUAGGGAGCAAGCGUUAUCCGGAUUUAUUGGGUUUAAAGGGUGCGCAGGCGGAGGUGCAAGUCAGCGGUCAAAUUGCGGGGCUCAACCCCGUACUGCCGUUGAAACUGCAUCCCUUGAGUGCGCGAGAAGUAUGCGGAAUGCGUGGUGUAGCGGUGAAAUGCAUAGAUAUCACGCAGAACUCCGAUUGCGAAGGCAGCAUACCGGCGCGCAACUGACGCUCAUGCACGAAAGCGUGGGUAUCGAACAGGAUUAGAUACCCUUGUAGUC
RNAcentral lists this ribosomal RNA (440 nucleotides) under uncultured bacterium. Its description in RNAcentral is "partial 16S ribosomal RNA". It matches the Rfam family "Bacterial small subunit ribosomal RNA", at positions 338 to 795 of the family's 1533-position model. The record is from RNAcentral.